AUUGAACGCUGGCGGAAUGCUUUACACAUGCAAGUCGAACGAUGAACCUUAGCUUGCUAAGGGGAUUAGUGGCGAACGGGUGAGUAAUGUAUCGUAACGUAUCCAAUAAUGGGGGAUAACUAGGCGACAGAUUAGCUAAUACCGCAUACGUCCUACGGGAGAAAGCUAGGGACCUUCGGGGCUGGCGUUAAUGGAGCGGCCGAUAUCUGAUUAGCUAGUUGGUGGGGGAAAGGCUCACCAAGGCGACAAUCAGUAGCUGGUCUGAGAGGACGACCAGCCAGACUGGAACUGAGACACGGUCCAGACUCCUACGGGAGGCAGCAGUGGGGAAUUUUGGACAAUGGGCGAAAGCCUGAUCCAGCCAUUCCGCGUGAGUGAAGAAGGCCUUCGGGUUGUAAAGCUCUUUCGCAAGGGAAGAAAACUUAAGCUCUAACAUAGCUUGAGGUUGACGGUACCUUGAUAAGAAGCACCGGCUAACUACGUGCCAGCCGCCGCCGUAA
This 500-nucleotide ribosomal RNA is filed under the name uncultured bacterium. Its description in RNAcentral is "partial 16S ribosomal RNA". It matches the Rfam family "Bacterial small subunit ribosomal RNA", at positions 30 to 523 of the family's 1533-position model. The record is from RNAcentral.